Molecule: small RNA, 128 nt
Filed under: Marmota monax (woodchuck)
Lineage: Eukaryota; Metazoa; Chordata; Mammalia; Rodentia; Sciuridae
Source: RNAcentral
GCUGGGUGUGGUGGCUCAUGCCUGUAAUCCCCAGUGGCUCAGGAGGCUGAGGCAGGAGGAUUUCAAGUUCAAAGCCAAUCUCAGCAAUUUAGCAAGGCCGUAGGCAACUUAGUGAGAGCCUGUCUCGA